GGAGCGUUCUUCUAAUGGUUAGGAACUCACGUUUUCACCGUGACAACAGGGAUUCGACUUCCCUACGCUUCA
Molecule: transfer RNA, 72 nt
Filed under: Candidatus Izimoplasma sp. HR2
Lineage: Bacteria; Bacillati; Mycoplasmatota; Mollicutes; Candidatus Izemoplasmatales; Candidatus Izemoplasmataceae
Description: Candidatus Izimaplasma sp. HR2 tRNA
Source: Rfam by way of RNAcentral